UACGUAGGGUGCGAGCGUUAAUCGGAAUUACUGGGCGUAAAGGGUGCGCAGGCGGCAGAGCAAGUCGAGUGUGAAAGCCCCGGGCUUAACUUGGGAAUUGCGCUCGAAACUACUUGCUGGAGUGUGGCAGAGGAAGGUGGAAUUCCACGUGUAGCGGUGAAAUGCGUAGAGAUGUGGAGGAACACCAAUGGCGAAGGCAGCCUUCUGGGCCAACACUGACGCUCAUGCACGAAAGCGUGGGGAGCAAACAGG
This 252-nucleotide ribosomal RNA is filed under the name uncultured bacterium. RNAcentral's name for it is "partial 16S ribosomal RNA". It matches the Rfam family "Bacterial small subunit ribosomal RNA", at positions 524 to 776 of the family's 1533-position model. The record is from RNAcentral.